Molecule: ribosomal RNA, 346 nt
Filed under: uncultured bacterium
Lineage: Bacteria
Description: partial 16S ribosomal RNA
Rfam family: Bacterial small subunit ribosomal RNA
Source: RNAcentral
CCUACGGGAGGCAGCAGUGGGGAAUAUUGCACAAUGGGGGCAAGCCUGAUGCAGCGACGCCGCGUGCGGGAUGGAGCCUUUCGGGUUGUAAACCGCUUUUGUCCAAGGACAAGGCACGGUCGUUGGCCGCGUUGAGUGGAUUGUUCGAAUAAGCACCGGCUAACUACGUGCCAGCAGCCGCGGUAAUACGUAGGGUGCAAGCGUUAUCCGGAUUGAUUGGGCGUAAAGGGAUCGUAGGCGGUUCGCCGCGGCCGGGGUGAAAGUCCAUGGCCAAACGGUGGGACUGCGCCGGAAACGGCCGGGCUGGAGGACAGGAGAGGUGACGGGAACUCCGGGUGUAGGGGUG